RNAcentral lists this ribosomal RNA (497 nucleotides) under uncultured bacterium. RNAcentral describes it as "partial 16S ribosomal RNA". It matches the Rfam family "Bacterial small subunit ribosomal RNA", at positions 28 to 507 of the family's 1533-position model. The record is from RNAcentral.
GAUGAACGCUGGCGGCGUGCCUAAUACAUGCAAGUCGAGCGAACAGACGAGGAGCUUGCUCCUCUGACGUUAGCGGCGGACGGGUGAGUAACACGUGGAUAACCUACCUAUAAGACUGGGAUAACUUCGGGAAACCGGAGCUAAUACCGGAUAAUAUAUUGAACCGCAUGGUUCAAUAGUGAAAGACGGUUUUGCUGUCACUUAUAGAUGGAUCCGCGCCGCAUUAGCUAGUUGGUAAGGUAACGGCUUACCAAGGCAACGAUGCGUAGCCGACCUGAGAGGGUGAUCGGCCACACUGGAACUGUGACACGGUCCAGACUCCUGCGGGAGGCAGCAGUAGGGAAUCUUCCGCAAUGGGCGAAAGCUUGACGGAGCAACGCCGCGUGAGUGAUGAAGGUCUUCGGAUCGUAAAACUCUGUUAUUAGGGAAGAACAAAUGUGUAAGUAACUAUGCACGUCUUGACGGUACCUAAUCAGAAAGCCACGGCUAACUACGUG